This 94-nucleotide microRNA precursor is filed under the name Canis lupus familiaris (dog). Its description in RNAcentral is "mir-8834 microRNA precursor family". It matches the Rfam family "mir-8834 microRNA precursor family". Lineage: Eukaryota; Metazoa; Chordata; Mammalia; Carnivora; Canidae. The record is from Rfam by way of RNAcentral.
AGGAGGAACAGCCCCAGUGGCGGGGCAGCUCUGGAAACCUGGAUUCAGCUCCGGCAGGAACUCCUUCUGCAGGGCCUGGAGGCUCCGGGGCGGG